AACUAACGCUGGCGGCGCGUCUUAAACAUGCAAGUGGAACGGUAAGGCUCGAGCUUGCUCGAGUACACGAGUCGCAAACGGGUGAGUAACACGUGGGUAAUUUGCCUUAGAGUGGGGGAUAGCCCCGGGAAACCGGGAUUAAUACCGCAUACGCCCUACGGGGUAAAGGUGGGGAUCUUCGGACCUGCCGCUUUAAGAUAAGCCCGCGCACCAUUAGUUUGUUGGUGGGGUAAAGGCCUACCAAGACUACGAUGGUUAGCCGGCCUGAGAGGGUGAUCGGCCACAUUGGGACUGAGACACGGCCCAAACUCCUACGGGAGGCAGCAGUUAAGAAUCUUGGACAAUGGGAGAAAUCCUGAUCCAGCGACGCCGCGUGAGCGAUGAAGGCCUUAGGGUUGUAAAGCUCAAUAAGUAGGGAAGAAUAAGUUAGUGCUAAUACCACUGACGAUGACGGUACCUACCUAAAGCACCGGCUAAAUACGUGCCAGCCGCCGCCGUAACAC
Molecule: ribosomal RNA, 503 nt
Filed under: uncultured bacterium
Lineage: Bacteria
Description: bacterial SSU rRNA
Rfam family: Bacterial small subunit ribosomal RNA
Source: RNAcentral